UUUUUUUUUUUUUUUUAAUGCAAAACGGUUUGUUUUGUGUUAUUAUGGCGCAGAGCUCUGCGCUAGUAUCAAGCAUCAGGAGACAAUUUCCCUGUCAAACACUUCAAAUGUCUAGUUGAAACAGAUGGGAAAAUUGAGGCGGAAGAUAGGAAAUGUCCAUAUUGUGAGCUAGCUGCUCUCUUCCAGCCAUGUAGCAAGCUCUCUCGGUUUUAGUUCCCAACACAUGAUUUUGGUACAUAGUUCAGAACUGAGGCAGGAUAAAGAAAUCAAGAAUGGACUGAUGUAUUGAAUUAGCUCACCAAUGGUCAGCUGCAUAUUGGAUUUCUUUGAAACAGACUUGGAUAGAUUUUAACUCAGAUGGAGAGAUAGAAGAACAGAGGGCAAAUGAAAUUUUUCACUGGUCAAAAAUCAAAGAUUUUAAAAAUUUACAGAUUUUCAAAUUAUUCCCAGUACAGGUGAAGACUUCAGCAUGGCAAGCAUAAACCUAUUAAAAUGCGGUCUCUCUAUUCUAGCUGUCUUGUGCGGACCCCUUCGAAGUUUAAUCCACAGGUCUUGUCUCCUGUCAAAAAAGCCCUCAUAUAACAACUUGGAGACCCUGAAGCCCAUGGAUCCACCACAAGAUGUCGCUAGCAGAGAACAACCAAGUAGAGAGUGGCAUUAUUGGGAAGUGCACAGAUAUCCAUGGUUCCUGUCAUCAUGCUACCAUCACACAUGUAAUUUUGCAAAAAAAUGCAGACAAUUGGUGUCUGAGGAAGAGAGGAAAGGAGAGCAACUAUCACUGAAAUAAUAUUGUGACUUGGAUUGCCAUGAAUCUCCAUCUCUUCUUGUGCUGCUGCUAUUGUAUAUAUGUAUCACUAUGCAAACUAGUGAAAUUACAGUGAUAGAAGAGAAAGUUAAAAAAAAAAAAACCCUUUGGUAUUGCAAUUCAGAGAAAAUGAUGUAGCAAGAAAGCCUAAUUGUGACUUUAAAGUGUCAUUUUUCUGUAAUAAAGCUACAAUAUUACCUAUGUAGCAGGCAUGAAAAGGGGAAAAAUGGCUGAUAUAAAAUUAGAAGUGCCUGAAAAUCAGGGUCACUUUAGAGACUUUUGUGAUCUCCUGUAAUGUGACAUAAACCACCUAUUGUAUUUUUGCUGGGAAAUUUGUAGCUAAGGUCAGUGUAGCAGAAAAUAAAACUUGGGGGUUUUUGUGCUAGAAUGAGAGUUGUGUUCUUUAUCAAACCAUUCACAGAGGAUGGUGCCUGUUCAAAUUUACAUAAAGCAUGCUAUAAUGUAUGUUAGGCUGUAUUCUAUCAUCUUUGCUGCUCCCUGUCAGUAGGAAGAAGCAAAAUGUUUGAUUUUGCAUCAUCAGAAUGCUUGACUUUAGCUACAAGCAGCCUUUUUUACUUGGUCUCCUUAACACAGCUUACUACUCUGGCAGUAGUUUUCCUUCUUCUCCCUGUGCUUGCUGCAGCCUGACACCAUCUUCCUGGUGCGGUUCAGGCUCUGCCAUGCUUGGCAUGGACGGAGCCCCUGGUGGGGAUCUGGCUGGUUCCAGUGCUGCCGUGUUAGAGGGCAGUCAGCCUCCUUCUAGCUCUGUGCUCAGGUCUGUAGCCCUGCUGAGAUCUAGUCUUCAGUCUGACCUGGAUUUUCCCCACAAAAAGCAAGAGUCCCCAGAGAUCAGUUCUGCCUUCUGUGUUCUCCCCUUCAGGAUUUGUCCCUUUGGUAGUGGUCAUGCAUGCAGAGAGCUGAGCAUCUACCAAAGUCAAGGUUUGAUAAAUGUUUAGUAAAGGGAACCCAUACAGCAUGGCCAGGAAAGUGAUGUGGUUUCAUAGGGAUCUCACUUGAUGUCUGGACUGCAGUCUAAGGCCAGUGAUUUAACAAGUUCAAUUCCUCAUUCAUAUAAGUUUAUUUAAUAAUAAAUCUGAAAUAAAUACUUGAAA
Long non-coding RNA from Haemorhous mexicanus (house finch), 1917 nucleotides. RefSeq lists it as uncharacterized. NCBI's taxonomy places the organism in Eukaryota, Metazoa, Chordata, Aves, Passeriformes, Fringillidae. The transcript is spliced from 2 exons. The record is from RefSeq and is a predicted model, not a curated record.